GCAAAUAUCCAUCGAUCCGCAGAUGUCCGAAUGAGGAAACUCACAUGGAGAAACUCCAUGUAUCGCAUGAUGAAUAAAUAGUCAUGCGAGGGGAACCCGCUGAACUGAAACAUCUAAGUAGGCGGAGGAAGAGAAAGAAACAUCGAUUGCGAAAGUAGCGGCGAGCGAAAUCGCAGGAGCCCAAACCGACGUGCGAGCAUGUCGGGGUAAUGGACUGCAUAAGCCAUCAGGAGAGCUAGUCGAACGUAUUGGAAAGUACGGACAGAGAGUGUGAGAUCCACGUAGACGAAAGCUCAAGAGAGGCGGCAGGAUCCGGAGUAGCAC
This 324-nucleotide ribosomal RNA is filed under the name gut metagenome. Its description in RNAcentral is "bacterial LSU rRNA". It matches the Rfam family "Bacterial large subunit ribosomal RNA", at positions 88 to 418 of the family's 2925-position model. The record is from RNAcentral.